RNAcentral lists this ribosomal RNA (284 nucleotides) under Allantus sp. YI-2013. Its description in RNAcentral is "partial 12S ribosomal RNA". Lineage: Eukaryota; Metazoa; Arthropoda; Insecta; Hymenoptera; Tenthredinidae. The record is from RNAcentral.
AAAAUUGGCGGUAUUUAAAUCUAAUUAGGGGAAUUUGUCUUUUUAAUGAUAAUCCGCAAGGAAUCUUACUUGAAUUAAAAAUUUAUUUAUUGUCGUUAUCAGAUUAUUUUAAAAGAAUAUAAAUUAUCUUAAUUAUUUUAAUAUUAAAAUAUUUAUUUCAGAUCAUUAUGUAGUUUAUAUUUAAGUUAAGGUGAAUUACAAUAAAAUUUAUUUAUAACGAAAAUUAUAUUGAAAUAUAUAAUAGAAGGUGGACUUAAUAGUAAAAUUAAAUUAUUAUAUUAAUU